AAGAACUAGGGCAUACAACAAUGGAUCAAUUCAUUCAACAAGAUCCGUUCGGAUCGGACCAGGAUGAAUGGGAUUGGUCUGACCUCUCGCUCAGAUGGUUGACUCCCGCCGCCGACAGAUGUCCCAUGCCACGUUUCGUGAACAGCUAUGCCCGAGAAUGAAUGAAUUGUGAUAUAGCGCCGAAUAAGCCACUGCUCUAUUCCCGACUCGAAAUCUAUAAAGGACUUUAAGGGAGAGAAAAUAGGGGGCCCUACACCAUACAUCCUGCUGCCUCGGGACGACUGCACGUUA
This 291-nucleotide unclassified non-coding RNA is filed under the name Hevea brasiliensis (rubber tree). Lineage: Eukaryota; Viridiplantae; Streptophyta; Magnoliopsida; Malpighiales; Euphorbiaceae. The record is from RNAcentral.